UCAUCCUACGGGAGGCAGCAGUGAGGAAUAUUGGUCAAUGGACGGAAGUCUGAACCAGCCAAGUCGCGUGAAGGAUGACGGCCCUACGGGUUGUAAACUUCUUUUGUCAGGGAGCAAUUGGGUCCACGUGUGGGCUUAGCGAGAGUACCUGAAGAAAAAGCAUCGGCCAACUCCGUGCCAGCAGCCGCGGUAAUACGGAGGAUGCGAGCGUUAUCCGGAUUUAUUGGGUUUAAAGGGUGCGUAGGCGGAAUAUCAAGUCAGCGGUAAAAAUUCGGGGCUCAACCCCGUCGUGCCGUUGAAACUGA
RNAcentral lists this ribosomal RNA (305 nucleotides) under uncultured bacterium. Its description in RNAcentral is "bacterial SSU rRNA". It matches the Rfam family "Bacterial small subunit ribosomal RNA", at positions 334 to 636 of the family's 1533-position model. The record is from RNAcentral.